ACCAAAGUUCAGUCAUCCUCCUCUGAUGACUCGCCUCAUGUGCCUGAAACAGGCAAGAAUACAUGUUGUCCAAACUAACCUAAACCACAGCUGAACUAAACAUCAGGAGCCACCAUUCCAAAUUAAUAAUCUAGAAAUCUAAGAACUUUGAUCCAGUUCGAACAAUUCUUAGUCAUCAUUUUACACCAAUUAGACUGGAUCAGUAAACGCGAUUCCUUCGUACAACUCGAAAAAUGAAAUCAAAUUCUUGUUCCAGACCACUUGGUAUGUCAGAUUAAAUUCGCCAGUUUUAUUUUGAAGACUAUUAAAUCAGGUGCAGUCAGGGAAAAGGAUUAUUAUCUCCCAAUCUUGUUCUAUUAAAGUAGCAAAAUAACGCUUUAAUUUUUUUGUUCGCAAAAUAAUCCCGUUCACUGUUGUCCGACGCAGCCCCGCCUUACUCAUCGAUCAACGCAAACUUCUCUAACUGUUCAAUUAUUUACCCAAUAAUUGAGUAGCAGAGAAGUUGACGAGGCAGAAACAAAAUGGCCUGUCCCGCUUAGGCGAUUUUAGGCGACUGCCAGUGACUGUCAUAAUCGUAGCAGGUCGAGACUGGACCUCCCCUACGACAAUGUCUAUGACAAGCUACAACAACCUUCCACCUAGUUGACGUCAAGCUGCAGCAAGCUACCAACAACUGGCGACCAUAACCUUCGCGACUAGGAUGUUCACCUACGACCACACCUACGACAACCUUCAACGACAUCUACGACAACAUACGACAACACUGACAACAACGUACGACAACCGAAGUCAACCUACGUCCUCCCGCAACAAGCUACGACAAGCUAAGGCACUGUCAGCGACAACUGAAGCCUCUAAAACAAUGGAAUCACAGUUUUCCGAUAAUUUUCAAUGCAGUACAAUGCUUGUGUUUGUUUUAUUGAUCAAAAAAUAUGAGAUUUAAAUAUUUGUAAGUAAUGCCACGAGACACUAAUCUGAAAUAUAAUAUCUUCAUACAUCAAUUUGUCGUCAAAAUGUCAAUCAUUUCCUUUAUUGAUAUUGAAAUAAACAAAAGUUUUAACAACAAAAAAA
Long non-coding RNA from Amblyraja radiata (thorny skate), 1071 nucleotides. RefSeq lists it as uncharacterized. The transcript has 2 exons. Lineage: Eukaryota; Metazoa; Chordata; Chondrichthyes; Rajiformes; Rajidae. The record is from RefSeq and is a predicted model, not a curated record.